This 429-nucleotide ribosomal RNA is filed under the name uncultured bacterium. Its description in RNAcentral is "bacterial SSU rRNA". It matches the Rfam family "Bacterial small subunit ribosomal RNA", at positions 355 to 776 of the family's 1533-position model. The record is from RNAcentral.
UGGGGAAUAUUGCGCAAUGGGCGAAAGCCUGACGCAGCCAUGCCGCGUGUGUGAAGAAGGCCUUCGGGUUGUAAAGCACUUUCAAUUGGGAAGAAAGGUUGCGUGUUAAUAGCACGUAGCUGUGACGUUACCUUUAGAAGAAGCACCGGCUAACUCCGUGCCAGCAGCCGCGGUAAUACGGAGGGUGCGAGCGUUAAUCGGAAUUACUGGGCGUAAAGCGCGCGUAGGCGGUUUGCUAAGUCGGAUGUGAAAUCCCCGGGCUCAACCUGGGAAUGGCAUUCGAUACUGGCCGACUAGAGUACGAGAGAGGGAGGUAGAAUUCCACGUGUAGCGGUGAAAUGCGUAGAUAUGUGGAGGAAUACCGGUGGCGAAGGCGGCCUCCUGGCUCGAUACUGACGCUCAGGUGCGAAAGCGUGGGUAGCAAACAGG